GAUGAACGCUGGCGGCGUGCCUAAUACAUGCAAGUCGAGCGAACGGACGAGAAGCUUGCUUCUCUGAUGUUAGCGGCGGACGGGUGAGUAACACGUGGAUAACCUACCUAUAAGACUGGGAUAACUUCGGGAAACCGGAGCUAAUACCGGAUAAUAUUUUGAACCGCAUGGUUCAAAAGUGAAAGACGGUCUUGCUGUCACUUAUAGAUGGAUCCGCGCUGCAUUAGCUAGUUGGUAAGGUAACGGCUUACCAAGGCAACGAUGCAUAGCCGACCUGAGAGGGUGAUCGGCCACACUGGAACUGAGACACGGUCCAGACCCCCAGGGGAGGCAGCAGUAGGGAAUCUUCCGGAAUGGGCGAAAGCCUGACGGAGCAACGCCGGGUGGGGGAUGAAGGUCUUCGGAUCGUAAAACUUUGUUAUGAGGGAAGAAAAUAUGUGUAAGUAACUGUGCACAUCUUGACGGUACCUAAUCAGAAAGCCACGGCUAACUACGU
Molecule: ribosomal RNA, 496 nt
Filed under: uncultured bacterium
Lineage: Bacteria
Description: partial 16S ribosomal RNA
Rfam family: Bacterial small subunit ribosomal RNA
Source: RNAcentral